ACAUGGGUGGUGUAGUGGUAGCACACAUCCCCGCUACGGAUGGAAAGCGGGUUCGAUCCCCGUCCGAGGUC
Parelaphostrongylus tenuis is the source of this 71-nucleotide non-coding RNA. The record is from the annotation of a GenBank genome assembly. NCBI's taxonomy places the organism in Eukaryota, Metazoa, Nematoda, Chromadorea, Rhabditida, Metastrongylidae.